This 393-nucleotide ribosomal RNA is filed under the name uncultured bacterium. Its description in RNAcentral is "partial 16S ribosomal RNA". It matches the Rfam family "Bacterial small subunit ribosomal RNA", at positions 523 to 918 of the family's 1533-position model. The record is from RNAcentral.
AUACGGAGGAUCCGAGCGUUAUCCGGAUUUAUUGGGUUUAAAGGGUGCGCAGGCGGGAGAUUAAGUCGGCGGUGAAAUUUUGCAGCUCAACUGUAAAAGUGCCUUCGAAACUGGUUUCCUUGAGUGUAGAUGAAGUAGGCGGAAUUUGUGGUGCAGCGGUGAAAUGCAUAGAUAUCACGAGGAACUCCGAUUGCGCAGGCAGCUUACUAAACUACUACUGACGCUCAGGCACGAAGGCGUGGGGAUCAAACAGGAUUAGAUACCCUGGUAGUCCACGCAGUAAACGAUGAUUACUAGCUGUUUGCGAUACAAUGUAAGCGGCUGAGCGAAAGCGUUAAGUAAUCCACCUGGGGAGUACGUUCGCAAGAAUGAAACUCAAAUGAAUUGACGGGG